This 418-nucleotide ribosomal RNA is filed under the name uncultured bacterium. Its description in RNAcentral is "bacterial SSU rRNA". It matches the Rfam family "Bacterial small subunit ribosomal RNA", at positions 361 to 776 of the family's 1533-position model. The record is from RNAcentral.
AUAUUGGUCAAUGGAGGCAACUCUGAACCAGCCAUGCCGCGUGAAGGAUGAAGGCCCUAUGGGUUGUAAACUUCUUUUAUUGGGGAAGAAACCUUUCUACGUGUAGAGAGCUGACGGUACCCAAGGAAUAAGGACCGGCUAACUCCGUGCCAGCAGCCGCGGUAAUACGGAGGGUCCGAGCGUUAUCCGGAAUCAUUGGGUUUAAAGGGUGCGCAGGCGGUAAAGUAAGUCAGUGGUGAAAUCCCUUCGCUCAACGAAGGAACUGCCAUUGAUACUGCUAUACUUGAAUAUAGUCGAAGUGGGCGGAAUGUGACAUGUAGCGGUGAAAUGCGUAGAUAUGUCACAGAACACCGAUAGCGAAGGCAGCUCACUAGACUAACAUUGACGCUCAUGCACGAAAGCGUGGGGAGCGAACAGG